Long non-coding RNA from Paramormyrops kingsleyae, 3894 nucleotides. RefSeq lists it as uncharacterized. Lineage: Eukaryota; Metazoa; Chordata; Actinopteri; Osteoglossiformes; Mormyridae. The record is from RefSeq and is a predicted model, not a curated record.
AUACUAAAUUUUAAAAAUGUAUAUUCUGCACUUGUAUUUCUAGUCUUUUCAGUAUUUGUCAGCAUAGGAGCGUUGCAAUAGUGUUGAGCAGUUGCCCUGCGGUGCCAUCUUGGUGCAGUAAUAGUAAUGUAAUAAGUAAAUAUAAUGCCAAGAUGGUAUACAUAGUGCAAACAAAAAGCACAUGGUACACAAAUGGGAUACCCUGAACAUCAAAAGAUUAGCAUAUUAUAGAAAUUAUGUAUAGACAAUAAUUAAUUAGUGAUGGUAUUUGUGUGUUGAAAAAAUACGUUGAAGUAUGUGAAUUGGCGACUGUCAGAUACAUGCAAACAAUAUGUAGAGAAAAUGGAUGAUACUGGAAACAGCCCAUACACAUUGAAAGCAAAGUGGUUUUGAGCUGCCAUGUGUAAGUUAUGAGAAUAUUGUUAAUUGUAUGGUUCUUCAAAUGUCAUUCUGAAGCAAAUGAAAGUGACUAAAAGCGUGGAAGCCUUUUUAUUUUCUGGCUAGGUACAUGAACUGCAGUGGAAAAUGUGGAUACAAAGGUGUAUUCGAGGGUAACUACAAGUACAAAUCUCAUGCUUCAUUAUUUUUAUGUAUAAGGGCUGCAACAACUAAUCAAUAAUGAGUGUAAUAACAAUUGACAAUGAAUUUUGUCAUUGAUUGCAUUAUUCCAGUUUGCUGCAUAAAUUGCAUACAAUGACAUCACCUCCUAGCACCAUUAAACAUUGCUGUGUUAAGCCUAGGUCAUACUUCACUUUUCCUAAAGCUGUUAGGGUCCAUGCAUCAUUGUGUGUGCAGACCCUUGAGUACAUACUGCAUUUGUCUGUGGAUGCAGGUAGCAGCGGUCGGUGCAUGCAAACAGCAGUGAUACGAAUGUCACCAGACCUGCAGAGGGCAAAUAUGCUGCUACUAGCAAUGUAUUGAGAGAGAGAGAGAGAGAGAGAGAGAGAGAGAGAGAAACUUUUAUGAACAAAAGUUAUUACUAUGUUACUAGGCUUGGGUGUAAUAUAGUAUACUGUGGUAUUUUGAAAUCUUGGUGACAAAAGGCCUACCUUCUGCAUGUGCUCAGUGAAUUUUAUCCCCAAGAAUUCAAAAUGCUAGAAUGGCAUUUUAGUUAAUGAAUGUCUGUGCUACAAAAAUGUUAAUGGAAUUUUGUUUUCAGUAAAUUAACAAUUUAUUGCUGUUAUUGUAACAUGAACUAUAGAGUUCCUUUGUGUUUCAAGUUAAUUAGCCUACACUGUUAUCACUAAUGUCAAGUGGCACAACUGUUCACCAUCAGGUGGUGGGACCUGGGCAAUGACAUACAUUCUUUGGCAAAAAAAAUGGGCCAAGCCCAAAAUUGCAAAAUAUUACAAUAAAAAUUAUUUUAAUUGUGAAGGACCAUGUAGGCCAGGCGUAAGGGCACUGGAAGGUUUUUGAAGAACAAGAUUUUUUAUUACAAACGUUUGCAAAACUAACACAGAAAUAAGCUUAAGUUUAUUUUUGAUAAGUUCAGAACAAUAUCAAACUUCACAUGAACUCAAACAACUCAAUGGACAAAAUCGCUAAAACGGACUAACUCCACAACAUGACACAGGGGUGUAUAUAUACCCACACAGGCUUGGCCAAACAAUCAGACAAAAGGGGGGAAAAUAUUAAAUGAUUAACCAAAUAAAGUAAAUCUCAAAACGAUAAACAAAAUGUCAAAAUUAUACCACCACUACACAACCAGUUCAAUAUCAUUGUAUAUACAAAAUAAAUCUAAACAUUAAGGAAAGAAAAAUUAAAACUCUGCUUCCCCCACAACAUACCACUAGUGUGAGGUGGUCCAAUGUCCUGUGGUAGUUCAAACUAACCAACAUCCGAAGUACGACUGUUUCCCAAAACCGUUGAACCACAGUAGUUUGAACCACAUUAGUUGGUUGGGACUUCCGUAGUUCAAACUACAAUGGUUCCAGCGCUGAUGGGUAAGACUCAUGGCGAGUCAUGCGCAACAACUAACAAACUACUUUCACAGCUGGUCGCGUACAAAAACUCGAACUGUGUAAUAUCAUAUAAAUAUAUAAUAAUCACACACACACACGUGUACGCAUCAUCAAUUUGUCAGUCACAUAACACCAAUAAUAUGAAAAAUGGCAAUCGUGCCAAAAUAAUGCGACGCUUCUUGCUGUGGUAAACAGAACUUUUACCUAUGACACUGCAUUUUGUGAAAGACGCUCCAUCUGUAAUUACGUUGAUUGCAGUUCAUUGUGUUUCAGUCACACUACGACCACUUACAAAUUCCUGGUCCGACGUUGUUGCUUACAGAAUGUUAGUGGCUGACUGGAAUAGACAGGUGCGUGUAAUAUCCAAACAUUACAGACGUCAUUCCCCGAGUUCAAAGGCAUGGAUUCGUAUCUGACCGCUGUAGUGUCAUUCUACUCUUCUAUUAUGGCAAUGACAGCUGUCAGUGAAUAAGGAGUACUUCAUCAAAAUGCUGUACUUUUUUCUAAGGCGACUGUUGUCCCUCUUAAGUUAUGUGUGUAAUGAAGAAACUGCACAACACCCAAUGGUCUGCAUAGGGCUACAAACACACAGAUGUACACAUACAAGGGAUAAUGAUUUUUUUUAAAUUUUUUUUUUAGGGGUUUUAUUAUUUUCUUUUUAUUUUAAUGUUGUUUUUUUAUUAUUAUUUCUCUUUUUUUUCCCCCUAUAUAUGAUGAAGUGUACCAUAUGGCACAAUGACCACAGGGUACACAACAUCCUUUACCAAGCAAUACACACUAACUGCAUAUGCCACUACAGGGGUGGGCAGUCUUAUCCAGAAAGGGUCGGUGUGUUUGUAGGUUUUUUUUGGGAUAACCGUUCAAUCAGUUGCUCAAACCCAGUUGUGCGAACUCUUCAGUCGAUCGGUCCUCUACGUUCUACUCUAAGCACAGAGUUGCAGCGAAAAGCUGCAUGUCUGAGAUCUGUCCCUAUUGCUCACUACAGACAGUUACCGUACUUAUGACCAGAGACCCACACAACAAUUACAUUUCAAACUACAUUUUCAGACAACUUCACAUUAUAUGUGAUCGUAGAGCUAAAUUAUUCCUUAUUAGGUAUUAAAGAUUAUUACAUUUCUUACUUACACGGUGACUAAACCCUUAUUAGACUGUAUUUUCCACCAUCGCUGACGUAUUUACCCGGAACUACGCUUCGAACUAUGCAACUUAACGACAGUGUUUGCGAAUGUUUGUUCGAACUAUGGUUUUGGGAAACACCUGUGUCGUUUAACGAUGCAUUGUACUAUGCAAGUCCGCAGUAUCGUUACCUCUGUAGUUCGAACUAUGGUUUCGGGAAACACCUGCGUCGUACUUGCAUAGUUCGAACCACGUAAGUUGCUAAUGUAGUUAGCAACGAUGGUUUUGGGAAAGGCACCCCUGGCCAGGCCUUUCCCAAACGGCAAACACAAAAGGAAUCUGGAAUCACAAAAUCAUCUCUCAGGAAGACGGUGUUUAAAGUAAAGAGGCCCUUAACAAACAAAGAAAAAACAGCACGCCAUAGGCAACGUGUUAAUGCUGACCCAGCAGCAAGACAAGAAUAUCUUGCUAGAAGAAAAGAAAGCUACCAGAGAAGAAAACGGGAGGGACUGAUCAAAUAUAUCAAGUCAAGUGAGCUCAGGAAGAAAGAGAGGAAGAAACAGAGACAGAAAUGGAGGGAUGCCUCUAGGAGUUACAGGGAGAGAAAAAAGAUGACCGAUGUUGUUUCUGAUCAUACUCCACCAUCUGCAGAAAACUAGAGGUUAUGCAACUAUUCUGAAAUACUUUGGUUGUUUAAAUAUUCUAUCUGAUCUGCUUGUUACAGUCUAUAAGAUGUUUCUUCUGUAAAUUAUUUGGAACUUACUCUUAUUCGGAACAUCAUGAAACAAUAAACCUCUCUUGGCUUUGUUGCAUAGAA